Molecule: ribosomal RNA, 317 nt
Filed under: uncultured bacterium
Lineage: Bacteria
Description: bacterial SSU rRNA
Rfam family: Bacterial small subunit ribosomal RNA
Source: RNAcentral
GAUGAACGCUAGCUACAGGCUUAACACAUGCAAGUCGAGGGGAAACGACAUCGAAAGCUUGCUUUUGAUGGGCGUCGACCGGCGCACGGGUGAGUAACGCGUAUCCAACCUGCCCACCACUUGGGGAUAACCUUGCGAAAGUAAGACUAAUACCCAAUGACGUCUCUAGAAGACAUCUGAAAGGGAUUAAAGAUUUAUCGGUGAUGGAUGGGGAUGCGUCUGAUUAGCUUGUUGGUGAGGUAACGGCUCACCAAGGCAUCGAUGGGUAGGGGUUCUGAGAGGAAGGUCCCCCACAUUGGAACUGAGACACGGUCCAA